This 935-nucleotide long non-coding RNA is filed under the name Mytilus galloprovincialis (Mediterranean mussel). Lineage: Eukaryota; Metazoa; Mollusca; Bivalvia; Mytilida; Mytilidae. The record is from RNAcentral.
UUGCUGAACAUUAUUGCUGUUUACAGUUUAUCUCUAUCUAUAAUAAUAUUCAAGAUAAUAACCAAAAACAGCAAAAUUUCCUCAAAAUUACCAAUUCAGGGCAGCAACCCAACAACGGUUGUCCGAUUCAUCUGAAAAUUUCAGGGCAGAUAGAUCUUGACCUGAUAAACAUUUUUACCCCAUGUCAGAUUUGCUCUAAAUGCUUUGGUUUUUGAGUAAUAAGCCAAAAACUGCAUUUUACCCCUAUGUUCUAUUUUUAGCCGUGGCGGCCAUCUUGGUUGGUUGACCGGGUCACGCCACACAUUUUUUAAACUAGAUACCCCAAUGAUGAUUGUGGCCAAGUUUGGUUUAAUUUGGCCCAGUAGUUUCAGAGGAGAAGAUUUUUGUAAAAGUUAACGACGACGGACGACGACGGACGACGGACGACGACGACGACGACGGACGCCGGACGCCAAGUGAUGAGAAAAGCUCACUUGGCCCUUCGGGCCAGGUGAGCUAAAAAAUAGGACUACAGCAGUUCACAUUUUAUCAUAAUCUUAUGCAGCAUAAACUUGAUUGAUUGGUUUUUGGUUGAUUAACGUCCAGUGGCAAAUAUUGCAUGCCUGUUCAGGACGAGAACAAGUAAGCAAUAUAUACAAUAGAUAGGUCCUGUCAUAAUAGAGGCAAUUCGGGAUGAUGGUCGGGGAAAUUUGGACUGCCACUGGAAAAUGAGAGUAUAUUGGGUAGGGACAGACAAUUUGCCUUGCAACAGGCCACCUACGGACCCCUCAAAGAGUUGUUGCAAGGGUUGCAAGUAUGUCAUCAAAGAAAAACAGAAAAACAUACAGACAAAGCAGAUUAAAUUUAGCAAAAACGAAAUUAAAUAAGAAUACCAAAAAAUACCAUAGCACUAAAACACGGGAUGUACAAGUACCAAGUCACAUCAAAUGGUUAUU